GUUUCUGUGGCCUAGUGGUUAGAGCAUCCGCCUCGAAUGCGGGAGUUUGUGGGCUAGAUUCCCGGCCGAGUUAUA
Molecule: non-coding RNA, 75 nt
Organism: Potamilus streckersoni
Lineage: Eukaryota; Metazoa; Mollusca; Bivalvia; Unionida; Unionidae
Source: the annotation of a GenBank genome assembly